UGGGGAAUUUUGGACAAUGGGCGCAAGCCUGAUCCAGCCAUGCCGCGUGCGGGAAGAAGGCCUUCGGGUUGUAAACCGCUUUUGUCAGGGAAGAAAUCUUCUGAGUUAAUACCUCGGGAGGAUGACGGUACCUGAAGAAUAAGCACCGGCUAACUACGUGCCAGCAGCCGCGGUAAUACGUAGGGUGCAAGCGUUAAUCGGAAUUACUGGGCGUAAAGCGUGCGCAGGCGGUUUUGUAAGACAGAGGUGAAAUCCCCGGGCUCAACCUGGGAACUGCCUUUGUGACUGCAAGGCUUGAGUGCGGCAGAGGGGGGAUGGAAUUCCGCGUGUAGCAGUGAAAUGCGUAGAUAUGCGGAGGAACACCGAUGGCGAAGGCAAUCCCCUGGGCCUGCACUGACGCUCAUGCACGAAAGCGUGGGGAGCAAACAGGAUUAGAUACCCUGGUAGUCCACGCCCUAAACGAUGUCAACUGGUUGUUGGGAAGGUUCCUUCUCAGUAACGUAGCUAACGCGUGAAGUUGACCGCCUGGGGAGUACGGCCGCAAGGUUGAAACUUAAAUGAAUUGACGGGGUCAU
RNAcentral lists this ribosomal RNA (575 nucleotides) under uncultured bacterium. Its description in RNAcentral is "partial 16S ribosomal RNA". It matches the Rfam family "Bacterial small subunit ribosomal RNA", at positions 355 to 922 of the family's 1533-position model. The record is from RNAcentral.